Molecule: long non-coding RNA, 220 nt
Filed under: Elaeis guineensis (African oil palm)
Lineage: Eukaryota; Viridiplantae; Streptophyta; Magnoliopsida; Arecales; Arecaceae
Description: long non-coding RNA (EGUI_LNC066601)
Source: RNAcentral
GAGAGCAUAACUAAAUGAUAGCGACGUCUGUAACUGCCUGGUAGUGGGCCGUUCGGGGUCACGUGGAGUUUGUUACGGAGAGUAGUGGCGUCAGGGGGCUGUUCAGGGUCACAUGGAGUUUGUUAUGGAGAGUGGAGUGGUGUCCGUUAUCGCGACUUGCCAGAGAGUGGUGGAGCCACGUGGAAUCCGUUACAGAGAGUGGAGUAGGGUAGUGGCCAUU